GGCCGAACAGGAAUCAUCCUGGGAACUGGUUAUAAUCUAUUUAUUUAAAAAUAUUUAUCAUUUAUUGAGUAAUUACCAUGUGACAGCAAUGCUGGUAAGAGCUUUCCAUACAUUGUUUCAUUUGAUACUUACAUAAUUCUUAUACGUUAUCUCCAUUUUUCAGAUAAGGAAAUGGAGUUAAUUAGAUGUUGAGGUUGAAUUUAAAUCAAAGACUGGUUGAUGCUAAAGCUAAAACCCUUCAGGUUCUAACAGACAGACAGACAGGAUAGACACACACACCCACACAUGCGCAUACACACACACACACACACACACACACACACACACAACCUCAUGAUACCUAUGUAAAAUUUGAGUUUCCAAAGCAGGAAAAAAGUCUGUUUACAAGAGAAAACAUAAUACAAACUGAGAAAUAAGGCCAAUGAAUAGAACUGGCCUAGAAAUCUGUAGAGAAGCAAAGACAGGAAGAUUUUACAGGAAAAAUUUUAGGUGUCCUGAUCUGUUCUAAUUACAUAUCCUUGGAGACACAUGGCCUUUCUGAACCUUAGAUUUCAUAUAUUAAUGAACUGGUCGACUAGAUGAUUUCUCGAUUUCAUUUCAGCAUUAACAUACUUUUUCUUUUUGGAUAGAACUUUUUAUUUAGUCAUUUUGUAUAAAAUCAAACUAAAAAAUUUGUUUUCACCAAACCCCAUAAGAAGUAAAAUUGUUUGCUUCCAAUACGAACAGUAUGUUUCAAAAUCCACCAAGAGAAGCAACUGGCUAGGACCCUGGGAGGCCUGGUCCUCUCACUACUCAAUGCUGUUUAACUUUCAGGGAAAGGCCUCAAAAGCCCCCCCAGUGGUGGGGCAGAGGAGGACUGCGCCACUCAGAGAAGCCAAGGCUGGCAUUGUCCCAGUCCCACUGCCCCACCUGUCCUGCAGCAGGGAGCUUUUCUGGGAGGAAUGAGCCUGGAAGAAGGAAUGUAAAAAACUCACUAGUUUACUAUGUUAAAAAAAAAGAUGGCACAUUUAUUGCUACAUAAAUGUUAUAUACAUAUUGUGUUUUCUGUUACAGUGACAGAAAAAAUUUGAACUUCUUGCUGCUGGUUGAAAGGUUUAUCAAUAAUACCUUGCAUUUGACACAGGAUACAAAUCUGCAAUAAAUCAACAGUGGAAACUGGAGAACAAGAUGAGAAGCAAUUCAUCUCGAACGUUAGCUCUUACAAUACUCCAUAGGUACUACACGGUAUGCUAGAAACCUACUAUGGUCUUAAAAUGCUAUUGUAAAUUUCUGAUAUUAAUGAACAGGUUAUGGUAAAUAACCCUACAUUUUUACUACCUAAUAUAAUAAAAUAAAGUAAGAAACUUUUUACUGAAAACUUUCGAUUUCAAAAAUCUAGAAAGAGUAAUAUUUAGAAUUCAAGAAAUUUUCUUACAAGAUUAUUGUAUAAAAGACUAGCUACAGUGAAAAAUAAGCCAAAUGUUUUUUUCUUUCUAUUUUAUGAAGGAAAGCUUCUGGGCAUACUGCAAAGUCUAAUAUAGCGAAAAAGACAACAAGCUCUGAAGAAAAAGGCCAGGCAGUGCUGUAUGUUCACUCACACAUCAUAAGCAACAACUUCGUUUAGCUGAUUAACACUGAAAUGAAGAACAAGGCCACAGAUAGAGUCUGAUGUAAUUGGAGAAUAUAUGCAAAUUAAGGUAGCCAAAAAGUCCACUAAGUUCACAAACAGUUGAUUUGUUAGGAAAUCAUCCUGAUUGGACGAUCCGAAGUUCCGCCUUAAUUGUUUUUGUUCUUUCAAAUUAACAGAAAUCUUUAAUUUACAUAGUGAUUUGGGUUCUUUCUUCUGUAUGCUGACUGCCCUUGCUGAUGCUAGCUCUGAGAAUUACUAAGCCAAGACAACCUUGUUUAGCAUGUAUUUCUCUCCCAGGUUUGUUGUGGUGGAAGACAGAUUUCAUGGAAGUUCAGUCAUUAUGAUGUCUUAAAAAAUUACUCUGAAAAAUGAGAGAGGUGCCCAGUGCACAGUAUUAAGAUUAACUGACAAGUAUUGGUUUAAUGCUAAUCUGGCUAAUCUUGGGAUGGGGGCUGAUGGUUUGCAGUUGAUUAAAUCACCCACUGAAUUCUCCCCUACCCAGCCAAAUGACAGAGAAUAAAGGUGAGGAGAAGGGGACCUGGUAACCAGUGUUCUUGGACUCCAUCAGGUAAUGAACCUCAAAGUGGUGUGUUCGCUUAUCACACUACCUGCCUUGAUGACUACUUGGUCUUGUUAUAUUCACCAUAAUCAUGGCCUGAAAAAUCAUCUUUGUAUUUUAAAUGAAUUUUGUGCUUACUUACAGCUAACACUUUACAAGUACUAUAUUAUGUAGUACUUACUGCUUGGAAAACAAAGCAAUUUCUAAAAAGUAAAUUCUUCCCUUGUAAUUUACACUUCUUGCUAUUACAAGCUUUACUAUGAAACCUAGAAGCUUGAAAAGUCUUGGUGUUAUUAGAAAUAAAGCAAUGUUUAUUUGUGGGAAAAACCUAAGGAAAAUUUUCCCCUUUUAAAAUCUUAGCUAGGCUAUGGUCACAGAUGGUCUCUGCUCACCACUGUGGAUACAUGUGCAAAGCACACAGGGCUGCAUGGAUGAUUCUGGACUGUGACCAUAACUACUCAGAUUCAGAGACCAAAUGUCACACCCACAGAGAAAAAAAAAUGCAUGAAAAAUGAGAGAAAAUGCUAUACCAAGUAAUAUUUUCCUAUUUCAUGGAAAACACUAUUUAUAUGGCAAAAGGAGAGGAGAGGGCAACAAAAGACUUUUCCCUUCCUUUUUAAGACACUCACAGGUAUGCCGGGAAUGCUAAGGGCCAAUGGUUGUCACUGUUUUGUUCUCUGCAUGGGAACAGCUUUAACAAAUGCUGGCAUCAACCUUUUCCCUUCAUAUGUAGACCUUACAGUUCCAUAGCAAUAAAUAAAAUUUGUAGUUACAAUGCAUUUGUCAAUUCAGUUUAGGCACAAGGCAACUUCCACGAUGAGUGGAGAGAUCGAGACAGUCUCUGAUUGUGCAGAAGCAACACACUGCUUGCAACAAAAUGAUAGGUUGCAAACAUCUCAUGGGUUGACGUUCUAUCUGAUGAGCUUCCUAUCUUCACUUCUGAUGGAAGUGUCGACCAAUUGCUUUGAUCGUAGGUACAUUUGAGUUCCUUGUUUCAAGUGUUUUGUGUUUUCUUCUCCCUCCUGUCAGGUUUGUGUCUUCAGAUAAUCUGAGUUGUCCAAGUCCUUAUGAGGAGAGUUCACCUUCUAUCUAGCCUACUGAUAACUCUGGAACU
Molecule: long non-coding RNA, 3282 nt
Filed under: Heterocephalus glaber (naked mole-rat)
Lineage: Eukaryota; Metazoa; Chordata; Mammalia; Rodentia; Bathyergidae
Description: lncRNA (ENSHGLG00100039111.1)
Source: RNAcentral